Molecule: ribosomal RNA, 496 nt
Filed under: uncultured bacterium
Lineage: Bacteria
Description: partial 16S ribosomal RNA
Rfam family: Bacterial small subunit ribosomal RNA
Source: RNAcentral
GAUGAACGCUGGCGGCGUGCCUAAUACAUGCAAGUCGAGCGAACAGAUGAGGAGCUUGCUCCUCUGACGUUAGCGGCGGACGGGUGAGUAACACGUGGAUAACCUACCUAUAAGACUGGGAUAACUUCGGGAAACCGGAGCUAAUACCGGAUAAUAUAUUGAACCGCAUGGUUCAAUAGUGAAAGACGGUUUUGCUGUCACUUAUAGAUGGAUCCGCGCCGCAUUAGCUAGUUGGUAAGGUAACGGCUUACCAAGGCAACGAUGCGUAGCCGACCUGAGAGGGGGACCGGCCCACCUGGAAAUGAAGACGGGGCCAGCACCCCAGGGGGGGAAGCAGAGGGAAAUUCUCCGAAAGGGGGGAAAGCCUAAGGGGACAACGCCGGGGGAGUAAAGAAGGUCUUCGGAUCGUAAAACCCUUUUAUUGGGGAAAAAAAAAUGUGUAAGUAACUAUGCACGUUUUGACGGUACCAAAUCAAAAAGCCGCGGCAGACUGCGU